This 454-nucleotide ribosomal RNA is filed under the name uncultured bacterium. RNAcentral describes it as "bacterial SSU rRNA". It matches the Rfam family "Bacterial small subunit ribosomal RNA", at positions 28 to 481 of the family's 1533-position model. The record is from RNAcentral.
GAUGAACGCUAGCGGCAGGCUUAACACAUGCAAGUCGAGGGGUAUUGGUUUUCGGACCAAGAGACCGGCGCACGGGUGCGUAACGCGUAUGCAAUCUACCUUUUGCAGAGGGAUAGCCCCAGAGAAAUUUGGAUUAAUACCUCAUAGUAUAGUACUUUGGCAUCAAGGAACUAUUAAAGUCACAACGGCAAAGAUGAGCAUGCGUCCAUUAGCUAGUUGGUAAGGUAACGGCUUACCCAAGGCUACGAUGGGUAGGGGUUCUGAGAGGGAGAUCCCCCCACACUGGUACUGAGACACGGACCAGACUCCUACGGGAGGCAGCAGUGAGGAAUAUUGGACCAAUGGGCGCAAGCCUGAUCCAGCCAUGCCGCGUGCAGGAUGACGGUCCUAUUGGAUUGUAAACUGCUUUAUUACAGGAGAAACACUCCGACGUGUCGGAGCUUGACGGUACUGU